This 110-nucleotide small RNA is filed under the name Pseudomonadota bacterium. RNAcentral describes it as "Proteobacteria bacterium partial 6S RNA". It matches the Rfam family "6S / SsrS RNA", at positions 1 to 116 of the family's 187-position model. Rfam says of the family: E. coli 6S RNA was the first non coding RNA to be sequenced, but its function was unknown until recently. The record is from RNAcentral. Lineage: Bacteria; Pseudomonadati; Pseudomonadota.
CACUCCCUGGAGUGCUUGCCAGUCGGUCAUGUUCCUGAGCCGAUACGCACAACCACGGGGGUUGCACGUGGGGUUGGUGUGCAUGUCCGCUCGACGGAAAGCCUUAAAAC